Molecule: ribosomal RNA, 253 nt
Filed under: uncultured bacterium
Lineage: Bacteria
Description: partial 16S ribosomal RNA
Rfam family: Bacterial small subunit ribosomal RNA
Source: RNAcentral
UACGGAGGGAGCUAGCGUUGUUCGGAAUUACUGGGCGUAAAGCGCACGUAGGCGGUCAGCCAAGUCAGAGGUGAAAGCCCGGAGCUCAACUUCGGAACUGCCUUUGAAACUAGUUGACUUGAAUCUUGGAGAGGCGGGUGGAAUUCCGAGUGUAGAGGUGAAAUUCGUAGAUAUUCGGAAGAACACCAGUGGCGAAGGCGGCCCGCUGGACAAGUAUUGACGCUGAGGUGCGAAAGCGUGGGGAGCAAACAGG